UCCGGCUUCUCGGUCAGCCCUGCCCUCUGGGGCCAGCAGAGCACGGUGGAUGCCAGGCCACAGCUGGAACAUUGCUGGGGCAGACGGGGGAUCCCACCUCCAGCAGGGGCGCCGGGCAGCGGGGCCAGCAGCUGAGUCACUGCAGAGAAAAUAAGUGAGGUGCUUGAUGUAGGAAAAUGUCGGGGUUCAGAGCCGAAGGCCGAGAAAGAAUUCCGGAGACGUCUUCAGUGCAAAAAGAGAGAGAGACAGCCAGUGAGAGAGGGAACACAAGCAGGGGGAGUGGGAGAGGAAGAAGCA
Ailuropoda melanoleuca (giant panda) is the source of this 297-nucleotide long non-coding RNA. RefSeq lists it as uncharacterized. Lineage: Eukaryota; Metazoa; Chordata; Mammalia; Carnivora; Ursidae. The record is from RefSeq and is a predicted model, not a curated record. The transcript has 3 exons.